Molecule: non-coding RNA, 113 nt
Organism: Xylaria venustula
Lineage: Eukaryota; Fungi; Ascomycota; Sordariomycetes; Xylariales; Xylariaceae
Source: the annotation of a GenBank genome assembly
GGACCCAUAGCUCAGCGGUAGAGCAUCUGAUUCCAGUGUUAAUAAUCAUCAUCGACAAAGUGAUGUAGACAACUGCCUCCAGAAGGUCAUCCGUUCAAAUCGGGUUGGGUUCA